Molecule: ribosomal RNA, 176 nt
Filed under: uncultured bacterium
Lineage: Bacteria
Description: partial 16S ribosomal RNA
Rfam family: Bacterial small subunit ribosomal RNA
Source: RNAcentral
CGGAAUCGCUAGUAAUCGCGGGAUCAGCAUGCCGCGGUGAAUACGUUCCCGGGCCUUGUACACACCGCCCGUCACACCAUGGGAGUUUGUAACGCCCAAAGUCGGUGGCCUAACCUUUAUGGAGGGAGCCGCCUAAGGCGGGACAGAUGACUGGGGUGAAGUCGUAACAAGGUAUC